GACACCUGGUCCCAGCCCAGGGCAAGAAUGAGUCUCUUCUGGCCAACUUUAUUUUUUACUUCUGGUUUCCUAGUGUCAAUUUGGAGAGAGGGAAAAAGAGAUUGUGUGUGUGUGUGUGUGUGUGUGUGCGCGCGAGUGUUUGCAUGAGUGUAUACUCACUACAUUUUCCAGACAUUUCCUUUAAAAUUCACCCUCUUUUGGGGGGAGGAGCCAAGAUGGCGGAACAGCAUGGAAGGUUUUUUUGGGUCUCACUUCCAUGAAAUAAAAUUCACCCUCUGUCUAGGGUAACAGGAACUCUCGCUCACUCCCGUUAACUUCUUCUUCUUUUUUUUUUUUUUAAUGUUUAUUUAUUUUCAGAGAGAGAAAGAAAGAGUGCAAGUGGGGGAGGGGCAAAGAGAGAGAGGGAGAAAGAGAAUCCCAAGCAGGCUCUGCACUGUCAGUGCACGGCCUGAUGCAGGGCUUGAACUCACGAACUAUGAGAUCGUACCCUGAGCUGAAAUCAAGAGUAGGACGCCUCACUGACUGAGUCACCUAGGCGCCCCGCUCCUGUUAACUUCCGAGGGUCUCUUGGAGCGCUUGCACCUUCUGGUCGUGAUGGGUCGUCCUUGUCUUUCCCUGAACUGCACCUUCUGUCUCCUAUCCAAAGCUCCUGGUCAGCGCAUCGCUGCUUACUUAUUUGGUGCCACCUUACCCUUUCAUUUAUGUCUCCAAAGCACCAAGACCAGCUGUUUAAGGUCCCAGACUUUCCUGAAAAUGUGAAAAUGUCAUUGAGUGGACAGUGAAAGAAGAAAAACUUUAAUCUCAACUCAGUCCCUGAACCACAUGGGAUCAUCUGGAGGGCCUUCUGGUCCGGCUUUCUCCUUGGCUUACACCCCUGGGGCUCAGCCAGCUCCUUCCUUGCAGAUCUCAGUCUCCAUUCAUCUCUCCUUCCCCCUAAACCCAGGGACCUCCAACUCCCUCUGCCCCCGGUGUCCAUAGAGGAAGCCCCCAAUCAAUGAACACCUUAGCAAGCCAAGGCGGGCACGCUCGACCUUCGCCGGGCAGAAUGGUGCAGCUCUUUUUUCAACAUUGCAGUGUCCAGGCUAGGCCUUGGCAUAAACAUAAUGUUGUUCUCCACAGAAAGCGGUCCCCUGCAGUCCCCUAUUUCUUGGAUGACUUCUGUGGGUUGCUUACUGCAGGAAUGUUUUCAACUCUGCAGGACCAGUCCAAAUAGCACCAGACCCCAUCCCCGUGAUGACAAUUCAGUGGGGUGAAGUCCUGGAAUCUGCAUGUUUAGAAAAUCCCCCAAGUAACUCUGAUGCAGAUGAUCCUCAAAUCAUAUUUAUAAGACCUCUGCCGGGGGGGGCCUGGGUGGCUCAGUCAGUUAAGAGUCCGACUCUUGAUUUCGGCUCAGGUCAUGAUCUCACAGUCUGCGUGUUCAAGCCCUGCGUCGGGCUCUGUGCUGACAGUGCAGAGCCUGCUUGGGAUUCUCUCCCUCCCUCCCUCUCUCUCUCUCUCUCUAUGCCUCUCCCUUGCUUGUACUCUCUCUCUCUCUCAAAAUAAAUAAACUUAAAAAAAAAGUUUAUAAGAGCUCUGCCCCCAGCAAAGUGUAAAAAUAAAGAGUCUUUUUAAACACAACUUGCCAGACCUUCUCAUCUUCCUUCCUUCACUCCCUCCCUUCCCUCCUCUCCUCUUCCUCCUCCUCCUUCCGUUGUCUACACACACCAAUGUUAGUCAUUUCUGGGUGAAAAGAAAUAUAGAUAAAGAAAAUUAUAUGCAAUUAUAUAUGCUAUAUAUUUAUUUAUAUUAUGUAUUUAUAAUUAUAUAGUCACAUAUAAGAAUUUGUUAACACGAUAAAAUACACGUAUAUUUAUCCCUCCGCCUAAUUUUUGACCUUAAAUUUACAUUGUUUGGUCACAAGUAAGAAAAUGCAAUAAACAAAAGGAAACCUCAAAUGACCCCCAGGAAGUGUGUCAACUGGGAAACUGAAUUUGCCCCAGGAGUGUCCCCCUGCUCAAGCACAAGGCUUCGUCUCUUAAUAUCUUAUCUAAGUCCCAAGUGACUGUCAGUGCUGACCGAGGACAGGAAGUUCUUAUGACUCUGGUCUGCUGAGCUCUGAGCUUGGAAAGGGGAAAAAGUGCUCAAGGCAAGAGGUCACCUGCCUCGGAUGUGCAGGAACCUUAGGAAAUUCUGCUGCGUCGGGAGGCGCCUUGGGCACCCAAUGCGCGGCCGACAGACGUGUGUUCCUACUUCCAAGAAGCUUCAACCAUCCAGAGAGGGAGACGAAGUCAGUGCGGAAGCUUUGCUACGGCAGGAGCCAUUCCAGACUGAGAGCUAACCCUGUCCCCUCCUUCAGGGCUCUGUGACCAGAGGCAAGUUAUUUAGCCUUGGUGACCCACAGGCUUCUAUCUCAGGAAUGGGAAGAUGCCAUUUUCACAGGGUUGUUGUAAGGAUUAAAUGAGAUUUCCCCAAACCUCAGGUAUUGGCAUCUCCCCUUUAAAAUGUUUGCUUCAUCUCCCUGCAACCUGGGCAGUCAGUUCAUUCACAUCGCCACCCACUUUCGCUUCCUCCUAAGUGGCAAUAUCUGUGAAAUCUCGG
Neofelis nebulosa (Clouded leopard) is the source of this 2577-nucleotide long non-coding RNA. RefSeq lists it as uncharacterized. The transcript has 2 exons. Lineage: Eukaryota; Metazoa; Chordata; Mammalia; Carnivora; Felidae. The record is from RefSeq and is a predicted model, not a curated record.